UGAGGAAUCUUGCGCAAUGGGGGAAACCCUGACGCAGCAACGCCGCGUGAGUGAGGAAGGCCUUCGGGUCGUAAAGCUCUGUCGGGUGGAAAGAAACGUAUGAAUGUUAAUAGCAUUUGUACUUGACGGUACUGCCAAAGGAAGCACCGGCUAACUCCGUGCCAGCAGCCGCGGUAAUACGGGGGGUGCAAGCGUUGUUCGGAAUCAUUGGGCGUAAAGAGCGUGUAGGCGGCUGAAUAAGUCAGAGGUGAAAUCCCUGGGCUCAACCCAGGAAGUGCAUUGUAAACUGUGCGGCUAGAGUAGGGGAGAGGGAAGUGGAAUUCCUGGUGUAGAGGUGAAAUUCGUAGAUAUCAGGAGGAACACCGGUGGCGAAGGCGACUUCCUGGCCCUAUACUGACGCUGAGACGCGAGAGCGUGGGGAGCAAACA
This 428-nucleotide ribosomal RNA is filed under the name uncultured prokaryote. Its description in RNAcentral is "bacterial SSU rRNA". It matches the Rfam family "Bacterial small subunit ribosomal RNA", at positions 355 to 774 of the family's 1533-position model. The record is from RNAcentral.